AUUGAACGCUGGCGGCAUGCUUUACACAUGCAAGUUGAACGGUAGCGCGGGCUUCGGCCUGGCGGCGAGUGGCGAACGGGUGAGUAAUGCAUCGGAACGUGCCCAGUAGUGGGGGAUAGCCCGGCGAAAGCCGGAUUAAUACCGCAUACGACCUGAGGGUGAAAGCGGGGGACCGAAAGGCCUCGCGCUAUUGGAGCGGCCGAUGUCGGAUUAGCUAGUUGGUGGGGUAAAGGCUUACCAAGGCGACGAUCCGUAGCUGGUCUGAGAGGACGACCAGCCACACUGGGACUGAGACACGGCCCAGACUCCUACGGGAGGCAGCAGUGGGGAAUUUUGGACAAUGGGGGCAACCCUGAUCCAGCCAUGCCGCGUGCGGGAAGAAGGCCUUCGGGUUGUAAACCGCUUUUGUUCGGGAAGAAAUCCUCUGGGCCAAUACCCCGGGGGGAUGACGGUACCGGAAGAAUAAGCACCGGCUAACUACGUGCCAGCCGCCGCCGUAA
Molecule: ribosomal RNA, 500 nt
Filed under: uncultured bacterium
Lineage: Bacteria
Description: partial 16S ribosomal RNA
Rfam family: Bacterial small subunit ribosomal RNA
Source: RNAcentral